This 264-nucleotide ribosomal RNA is filed under the name uncultured bacterium. Its description in RNAcentral is "partial 16S ribosomal RNA". It matches the Rfam family "Bacterial small subunit ribosomal RNA", at positions 109 to 353 of the family's 1533-position model. The record is from RNAcentral.
AGUAACACGUAAACAACCUGCCUUCAGGAUGGGGACAACAGACGGAAACGACUGCUAAUACCGAAUAAGUUCCAAGAGCCGCAUGGCCCAUGGAAGAAAAAGGUGGCCUCUACCUGUAAGCUAUCGCCUGAAGAGGGGUUUGCGUCUGAUUAGCUGGUUGGAGGGGUAACGGCCCACCAAGGCGACGAUCAGUAGCCGGUCUGAGAGGGUGAACGGCCACACUGGAACUGAGACACGGCCCAGACUCCUACGGGAGGCAGCAUG